GCCGGGGUGGCGGAAUGGCAGACGCGACGGACUUAAAAUCCGUUGCCAGCAAUGGCGUGUGGGUUCGAGUCCCACCCUCGGCACCA
This 86-nucleotide transfer RNA is filed under the name Dehalococcoidia bacterium. RNAcentral describes it as "tRNA-Leu". It matches the Rfam family "tRNA". From Rfam's summary of the family: Transfer RNA (tRNA) molecules are approximately 80 nucleotides in length. Their secondary structure includes four short double-helical elements and three loops (D, anti-codon, and T loops). Lineage: Bacteria; Bacillati; Chloroflexota; Dehalococcoidia. The record is from RNAcentral.